This 253-nucleotide non-coding RNA is filed under the name Caulobacter segnis. RNAcentral's name for it is "partial 16S ribosomal RNA". It matches the Rfam family "Bacterial small subunit ribosomal RNA", at positions 524 to 776 of the family's 1533-position model. The record is from RNAcentral. RNAcentral also lists the same sequence under 5 other names. Lineage: Bacteria; Pseudomonadati; Pseudomonadota; Alphaproteobacteria; Caulobacterales; Caulobacteraceae.
UACGAAGGGGGCUAGCGUUGCUCGGAAUUACUGGGCGUAAAGGGAGCGUAGGCGGACUGUUAAGUUAGAGGUGAAAGCCCAGGGCUCAACCUUGGAAUUGCCUUUGAUACUGGCAGUCUUGAGUACGGAAGAGGUAUGUGGAACUCCGAGUGUAGAGGUGAAAUUCGUAGAUAUUCGGAAGAACACCAGUGGCGAAGGCGACAUACUGGUCCGUUACUGACGCUGAGGCUCGAAAGCGUGGGGAGCAAACAGG